GAAAUCUUCAAGGCUUUUCCAGACAAUGUAAGGCAUAACGGGGAAAUAACUGGCAGCAUUUUCAGACAAUAACCAGACAGUUGGAUAUUGCAGAAGAACGGACGUUAAAGCUGAUUCAUAUAUAUGAUUUUCAGGUCUUACAAUAACUUAUAAUGGAGGACCAAGAGGCAGAAUGCUCCGCUGCAUAUUUAGAAACGUUGUUCCAAGCCAUGAAAUCAUGGUCAUUUGACAUAUUUGAGAUCCACGAUGAAGACUUG
Molecule: long non-coding RNA, 257 nt
Organism: Cryptomeria japonica (Japanese cedar)
Lineage: Eukaryota; Viridiplantae; Streptophyta; Pinopsida; Cupressales; Cupressaceae
Exons: 3
Source: RefSeq, a predicted model, not a curated record